This 254-nucleotide ribosomal RNA is filed under the name uncultured bacterium. Its description in RNAcentral is "partial 16S ribosomal RNA". It matches the Rfam family "Bacterial small subunit ribosomal RNA", at positions 524 to 776 of the family's 1533-position model. The record is from RNAcentral.
UACGUAGGGGGCAAGCGUUGUCCGGAUUUAUUGGGCGUAAAGAGCUCGUAGGCGGCUCGGUAAGUCGGGUGUGAAACCUCCAGGCUCAACCUGGAGACGCCACCUGAUACUGCUGUGGCUAGAGUCCGGUAGGGGAGUGUGGAACUCCUGGUGUAGCGGUGAAAUGCGCAGAUAUCAGGAAGAACACCAGCGGCGAAGGCGGCACUCUGGGCCGGAACUGACGCUGAGGAGCGAAAGCGUGGGUAGCAAACAGG